CACAAGCCUAAGAUCACCAUGUGCAAUGUCAAGCGUCGGCUGGAGUGGUGUAAAGGUCACGGACAUUGGACUCUGGAGCAGUGGAAUCUCGUUCUUUGGAGUGAUAAAUCACGCUUCACCAUCAGGCAGUCCAAUCAACAAAGCUGGGUUUGGCAGAUGCCAGAAGAACGCUACCUGCCCGAAUGCAUAGUGCCAACUGUAAAGUUUGGUGGAGAAGGAAUAAUGGUCUGGGGCUGUUUUUCACGGUCCGGGCUAGGCCCCUUAGUUCCAGUGAAGGGAAAUCUUAACGCUACAGCAUACAAUGACAUUCUAGACGAUUCUGUGCUUCCAACUUUGUAGCAACAGUUUUGGGGAAGGCCCUUUACUUUUUCAGCAUGAUCAAACACCGUUGGGAUGAAUUGGAACGCUGACUGCGAGCCAGACCUAAUCGCCCAACAUCAGUGCCCAACCUCACUAAUUCUCUUGUAGCUGAAUGGAAGAAAGUCCCUGCAGCAAUGUUAAAAUAUCUAGUGGAAAGCCUCCCCAGAAGAGUGGAGGCUGUUAUAGCAGCAAAUACCCAUGAUUCUGGAAUGAGAUGUUCGACGAGCAGAUGUCCACAUACUUUUGGUCAUGUAGUGUAGGUUAUAGCAAUUUGUCAGUCCAUGACACAGUCCAUCACACAGUCCAUCACACAGUCCAUCACACAGUCCAUCACACAGUCCUUGACGUGACACAAACACUGAUUGUUGCCUCGCCUUAGCUAUGGAACGCGCCUCGAGUUUCAUCAGGCUUCUUGCCAUGUUUAAAAGAACUGAGGACUUGAAAUUAGGGAAACAUUUUUGAACGGUCAUUUAACUCGUAUUUCCAAGUCGGAAACUUUCAGGAGCUCGGACAUUCUGACCUAAAGAUCACGGACGCCCUGAUUUUACCUUUUAUUCCUGAGUUCCCAGUUGUCUGGAAAGCACCAUUAUACCCAUAUCUAGUGAUGACUUCACUGGUGACGUCAUUACCGGUAUCUAGUGGUGACGUCAUUACCGGUAUCCAGUGGAGACGUCAUUACCGGUAUCCAGUGGCGACGUCAUUACCGGUAUCCAGUGGCGACGUCAUUACCGGUAUCCAGUGGCGACGUCAUUACCGGUAUCCAGUGGCGACGUCAUUACCGGUAUCUAGUCGUGACGUCAUUACCGGAAUCUAGUCAUGACGUCAUUACCGGUAUCUAGUGGUGACUUCACUUCCCAGUGUUUGUUUAUCAAUGGGCGGAUUUGAUUAUGCUAAGCCACGUGGCACCAGUCUAUGGUCUUCUUUCACCGCGAAUGAAGCACCCUUCUCAAAUCCAACAGUAAUCUACAAAUCCAACAGUAAUCUACGAAUCCAACAAUCUACAAAUCCAACAGUAAUCUACGAAUCCAACAGUAAUCUACGAAUCCAACAGUAAUCUACGAAUCCAACAGUAAUCUACGAAUCCAACAGUAAUCUACGAAUCCAACAGUAAUCUACGAAUCCAACAGUAAUCUACGAAUCCAACAGUAAUCUACGAAUCCAACAGUAAUCUACGAAUCCAACAGUAAUCUACGCAGCUCUGCGAUUUUGUCAACAAGGCAGCAUGGUGUAUCAUACAUCUCUUUUCCAUAAAGUAUUUUUUGUUCAUUGGGAAGACCGAAAGCGUUUUAUUUUCAAUCAAAAUGCAAUCCCUUUUGCCUGUGAAACCACAGAAUCCUAGUAAUUACAACACGUGCUUAAUUACAUCACUUUUGUUUUGAGCAGAUGUCGCCUGUGGUUUUAAACGAUAAGGGUCUUGUCCGUCUGAACGUCUGGGAGACCAGGUAGGGUUUAGUCCAUCUGAAGGCUCCCUAUGUAGUGCACUACUUUAGCUCUAUGAGGCACCCUAUGUGUCUGGAAGUUGGGUAUAGAAAGGGAUUUGAGGUCCAUUGGACCCUCUCUACUAAUGAUCCUGGUCAUCAAGUCUCCUCCAUCACUGCUAACGACUCUGGAUGAAACCGUUAAUCUGUGACUCUGUCUGUCCAGAGCUCUUUAUUGUCAUUUACAGCUGUGAGUUUGUCUGUCAUGUGACGCGGCUGCAGAGCACCUGAUAAUGAUGAUUAUGAUGAUGUAAAGAAACAAAGGCCUGUCCAAAUUAAUAAAAUGUUUGUUUAACCUUUC
Molecule: non-coding RNA, 2139 nt
Organism: Oncorhynchus mykiss (rainbow trout)
Lineage: Eukaryota; Metazoa; Chordata; Actinopteri; Salmoniformes; Salmonidae
Source: RefSeq, a predicted model, not a curated record